RNAcentral lists this non-coding RNA (29 nucleotides) under Rattus norvegicus (Norway rat). The record is from RNAcentral. Lineage: Eukaryota; Metazoa; Chordata; Mammalia; Rodentia; Muridae.
UGAAUUCAGAGAUUCAUCUGCCUCCGUUU